AUACGUAGGUGGCAAGCGUUGUCCGGAUUUACUGGGUGUAAAGGGCGUGUAGGCGGGUGCCUAAGUCAGACGUGAAAUACCGGGGCUCAACCCCGGGGCUGCGUUUGAAACUGGGUGUCUUGAGUGCAGGAGAGGAUAGCGGAAUUCCUAGUGUAGCGGUGAAAUGCGUAGAGAUUAGGAGGAACACCAGUGGCGAAGGCGGCUAUCUGGACUGUAACUGACGCUGAGGCGCGAAAGUGUGGGGAGCAAACAGGAUUAGAUACCCUGGUAGUCCACACCGUAAACGAUGGAUACUAGGUGUCGGGGGUAUCGAGCCCCUCGGUGCCGCAGUUAACACAAUAAGUAUCCCACCUGGGGAGUACGAUCGCAAGGUUGAAACUCAAAGGAAUUGACGGGG
Molecule: ribosomal RNA, 397 nt
Filed under: uncultured bacterium
Lineage: Bacteria
Description: partial 16S ribosomal RNA
Rfam family: Bacterial small subunit ribosomal RNA
Source: RNAcentral